This 78-nucleotide transfer RNA is filed under the name Labilibaculum euxinicum. RNAcentral's name for it is "Labilibaculum euxinus tRNA-Val". Lineage: Bacteria; Pseudomonadati; Bacteroidota; Bacteroidia; Marinilabiliales; Marinifilaceae. The record is from RNAcentral.
GAAAGCAUAACUGGAUAGUGUAUAACUAUUUCUGGGUUACAGCCGUAGAGGUUGGGGGUUCGAAUCCCUCCGCGUUCA